UGGGGAAUAUUGGACAAUGGGCGAAAGCCUGAUCCAGCCAUGCCGCGUGUGUGAAGAAGGUCUUCGGAUUGUAAAGCACUUUAAGUUGGGAGGAAGGGCAUUAACCUAAUACGUUAGUGUUUUGACGUUACCGACAGAAUAAGCACCGGCUAACUCUGUGCCAGCAGCCGCGGUAAUACAGAGGGUGCAAGCGUUAAUCGGAAUUACUGGGCGUAAAGCGCGCGUAGGUGGUUUGUUAAGUUGGAUGUGAAAUCCCCGGGCUCAACCUGGGAACUGCAUUCAAAACUGACUGACUAGAGUAUGGCAGAGGGUGGUGGAAUUUCCUGUGUAGCGGUGAAAUGCGUAGAUAUAGGAAGGAACACCAGUGGCGAAGGCGACCACCUGGACUAAUACUGACACUGAGGUGCGAAAGCGUGGGGAGCAAACA
RNAcentral lists this ribosomal RNA (427 nucleotides) under uncultured bacterium. RNAcentral describes it as "partial 16S ribosomal RNA". It matches the Rfam family "Bacterial small subunit ribosomal RNA", at positions 355 to 774 of the family's 1533-position model. The record is from RNAcentral.